Molecule: ribosomal RNA, 449 nt
Filed under: Atherina boyeri (big-scale sand smelt)
Lineage: Eukaryota; Metazoa; Chordata; Actinopteri; Atheriniformes; Atherinidae
Description: partial 16S ribosomal RNA
Rfam family: Bacterial large subunit ribosomal RNA
Source: RNAcentral
AGGUAGCGCAAUCACUUGUCUUUUAAAUGAAGACCCGUAUGAAUGGCAUAACGAGGGCUUAACUGUCUCCUUUUUCUAGUCAAUGAAAUUGAUCUCCCCGUGCAGAAGCGGGGAUACACACAUAAGACGAGAAGACCCUGUGGAGCUUUAGAUGAGGGAGUGGCCCCUGUCACCCUCCCCUUAAGGGAACAAACUAAAUGGGCCCCCAUUCCAUUAUCUUUGGUUGGGGCGACCGCGGGGGAACAAAAAUCCCCCAUGUGGAAUGGGAAUACAUCUCACAAGUGAGAGCUACAGCUCUAGCUACCAGAACUUCUGACCAACAAGAUCCGGCAUUGCCGAUCAACGGACCGAGUUACCCCAGGGAUAACAGCGCAAUCCUCUUUUAGAGCCCAUAUCGACAAGGGGGUUUACGACCUCGAUGUUGGAUCAGGACAUCCUACUGGUGCAGC